AGUUCACCUCCAACUCCCAACUUUGACACUAUGAAAAAUAAAAUUUUCCAUCACAUCAAACUUGCGGUACAUGCAUGAAGUACUAAAUGUAGAUGAAAUUAAAAACUAAUUGCACAGUUUUGUUGUACUUUGCAAGACGAAUCUUUUGAGCCUAAUUAGUCAAUAUUUGGACAAUAAUUCACAAAUACAAACGAAACGCUACAGUGCGCUAUAGUACUUGUAACAGUAUUUUGACACCUCCAAAUUUUGGCAACUAAAGCCUAGGCUGCCGGCUGCAGGCUGGGCUCCCGGUUUUGAGGAAAUCGUACAGCGACGGCACCUGUUUCCGCUGCCUCUGUGGGCGGGAGCCAAUACCAUGGGCGGGUUUUGGAUUUGGUCCCCACCCUCUCUCUCCUCGUUGUCCAGCCGCAGGAAAGUGAAGAUCUCUCACACGUGUCCUCCAUGUUUCUGGCUCUUCCAGGUCGCCACGAGUCUCGUGUUUGUCUGUUGGGAUCCACAAUAGACUAAAACUUGAUAUUCUACCGUAUUAACAAAAUUUGUUAGGAAUUAUAUAAGAUAUAUAACGCUAUUUGUUUUUUUAGAAUGGCAUUGCAUGCAACGCCAAACGAAGGACGUGGUUUUCGGGUUUUAAGCAAGACAAAUUUUGUAGCAAGUAAAAUGAUGCUUCCUCUGGACCUGUUCGGCUGGACUUAUAAGCCGGCUGAAAAGCUGAAACGGCUGAUUUAUUGUGAGAGAAAAAUACUGUUCGGUGGCUGAUAAGUCCUAUCCAUAUUUGAUCGGCGUACAAGCGGAAGAUCAUCGUACAAAUAGGAAAACUCCAAAUUUGAUUAUCACAUUCCAUGUGGAUAGCACGUGUUGGCUUUGCAUGGGGAUUCUAUGCACAUGACGUUUGAAUGUGGAUUUAAUGUGCAGUGCUUUGAAUGGCGAUUAAAACACAAGGUUAAUGUGACUACAACAAAGCUGAUUAAAUGGAUUUUAGCGGGAAGUUUUUUUUCCUCUUCUUGUUCUUGGUGAAGCCUACAAAUAGCAGGUUCACUGGAUAUUAUAGAGGGAGUGUUAAUGUAAGAUUCCAUUAAAAUAUUUUGACAAAUUAAAAAUUAGAUUCGAUCAAGAAAAAUAAUAGGCAGUGUCUAUUUAUCUGUGAUAGAUUUUUAGGGGUGAAAUCUGUUGAAUUUUAUGAUAUUGCAUAUGUUAUUUUCUAAUGUUGCGAAUGUUAUUCUCCCAUACUGCAUAUGACUAAAACAUAAAGUACUAUGCAAUGUGCAAGAACAAUACAUUGAAACGUACUAAAUAACAUAUGUAACAUCAGAAGAAAUCUGACACAUUUCCUCCCCUAAAAUUAUAAAAUAUUUUGAAACAUCGAAAAAUAAUGUUUGCAUCAAUAAAUGACAACACUUGCAACAUCAAAAAAUUCGACAGAUUCCAAAAAUAUGUAGACGGACAAAUAGCAAAACUCAAAAAAUAUAUAAAUCAUUUCUAUUUCACGAUGUUUAUCUGGUCUGCAAAUCUUAGGAUACUGGAGAACUAUCUAAAAAAAUUAUAGUACGAAUUCCUGGUUUAUCUUGGAUGGAUGAACAAUUGUUCUAUCAAAAUAGUUACUUCCUCCGUCAUUGAAUAUAAAUCAUCCAGGCAUUUUAAAUUUAUCCACAAAUUAAAUACAAGGAACUCUAUUACUAUAGACACAUUUGGAUAAUUGCUCAUUUAAUUCUUCUCAAGGUUAACCGAAUAAUUUUGGUUGAUUGAUUGAUUAAAACAACCAAAACACCCACAUCAUAACUCAGAAUACAUGCGUCUUUUACUAGAAUUACUAAUCUAUUCUGAAAUCUCUAGAAUGCCCUUUAUUUCAUAAAUGAGGGAGUACAAAUCUAACAUAAUUCUAUUAAAAUAUUUACCUAUUUCUACGUCAUGAAUCUAUGCAACAUCAAUACGGAUACAUCAGUAUGAACCAAUAUGAAUACAUGGUACAUCAAUUUUCUAAAGCUUCGUUUGGAUGUAGAUAUUCAACCUCGGAAUUGGGAAUUGGCAUUGGAACAUCAGAAUGCCAACUGUUUGGAAGUCAUGGAAUUUGGAAUUGUAAAUCAGCUCCAAUACCAACUGGGAUUCUUCACAUGCUCACCCUCCUGCCCCCAAUACCGAGCUCCCCUCCCACCCCCCUCCCCCACGUAUUGACUGGAAUUGUGCUCACCCGUCCCCCACGCGCUGCCGCUCCCCUGCUUCCCUCAGCAGUGAAUUGCGCCACCCCUCCGCCGACGAGCCGUCCCCGCGCCCUCCCCUGCCUCCCUUCGCCGCGCCCUCCGCGCCCCUCCGUGACUCCCUCACCGGAUAUUCCAUGCUAUGGAUAUCCAAACACAAAUUGGAUUUGCCACUCAGUUGAAUUCCCUCUAGCAAUUUCAUCAACAUCCAAACAAUAGAUUUGGUGUUAUAUCCAUUUCCAAAAUCCAAACAAUAGAUUUGGUGUUAUAUCCAUUUCCAAAACCAGUCUUGUUGGGGGGAAAUAUUAACGACCCCCUAAUGCGCUGCUCAAAGAAACAAACAUAAAGGCCCAGGCCCACCGAAGUGUGGUCAAAUCUCCGCCUCGCCCGACCCCGGCAUCAGGAUCGGGAGCGCCCGACCUCCCUCCGCAAGAUCUCCGCCUCGACCGACCGCGGCCCCAGGGUCGGGAGCCCCCGACCCUGUACCACGAAAGUUCCGCCUCGCCCGACCUCGAGCGAGGGAGUCGGGCACGUUGAGGCCCACGGGUCAGAAUCCUCCUCGGAUACGCUCCGCAUAGACAGACAAAUCCUGUGGGGUCCCCCAUCGGCCUCCCCAUAAAUGCGCCGCAGAGAAGGCAGAGCGCAGGGCGACCGCGCCCCCCACGCAACCCGGCGCAAGUACCCGCGCACGACCCUCCUGUACGAGCUACAGUACUGGCGGCCAGCUCCUAUUCGUCACAAAGCACUCAUGACCUGCGGCGACUGGAGGUAAGCUAGGAGCAGCCCCGUCCUCGGGUCCCGCACGCCCUCGGACCCCGCGCGAACAGUGGCACAGGUGUGAAGCUCCCCGUCUCUACAAGCUAUCACCGGAGCGGCGGUAUCCACCGUCCUCCAAAACGGACAGCAGGGUGACGACGAAAUCCCCUCAUCAUGACCUAUCCUGAUACCUACGAACGUCGAAACAGCUACCUGCGAAGAGCUGCAACACUUGGCAUCCGGCAGCCACCCCUUCGGACAUGCACGGCGGCACGCGUUCAGGGUCGGCAAGACGUCGGGCGCCAGGGGCCUCUGACCCCUUCCCGCCAGACCUUUUUACCAUCUCACUCUCUACUUUUUACCCGGUUCCCAAUUGUAACUCCGGCCGGCCCCUUGCGAUAUAAAAGGUGGAACCUAGAGCCGGGGGAGGGGGAUCGAUCAAUCGAAAAACAGAACAAGAGAACCAGGCUUCUCCCAAGAACACAAAACAAAGAGACCUGGGACCAGUCCCUCUCUCGCCCGUCUGUAACCCCCUACUACAGAAUCCCCGCGCGGGCAACACGAACAUCCCCGAUACUGGACGUAGGGCCCCCUUUGCCCGAACCAGUCUAAUCCGUGUCUCCCGUGCAACCAUCUGAGGCUCACACGCAUAAAAGAAAUUUACUAGUCUAAGUCUUGAUCCGCUGAUCUUGACAACGACAAGUCUGAUUUGGUAUUCAACUCAAUUCAAUCCUAAGCCCUCCAUAUUUCUAAAUUCAAACACAACCUUAAAGAUAUUAAGAACAUAAAGUUGUAUCGGAGUAUCAGAUAUAGAUACGUAUCUGAUACGUAAUACGGAUCAUGUUAAAGUACGGAGGUAAUAUAUUGUCAUGUACUUACAUAGGCCAGACAAACAUUUUGAAACGGGGUGGCAUAUAAGCCACUUUGAUUGGGUUUGCUCGGGAAACAAAAAUAUUAAAUCAAAUAUAGACUUGAGCAUAUAAAAUCCAAUCCAAGUCCCGCCUGAUUUUGUAUAAGCUUCAUGAAGCCUAUAGAGUUUUGUGGGCGUGGAUAGAGAACAGUUUGUUGUCCCGACAAAAAUCAAGCCAAUAAAAAAUACUUGUCGAUGAGACUCGUGUGCAGUAGUAAUUCACAUGUUAGCCUAACUUCACACACGUCAGUGACUCAUACGCAGAGAGUAGUACUGUAGAGGAACGGCUUCCAACUUCAGAUACUUCCACUCCACCGAUCCCGUGGAGUAGAUGUCUAGAUGGACAUGGAGGCAUUUUCUACUUGUCUACAUCAGGCCAUAAUCAGCUUAUAUAUUUUUACUAUAACAGUUUAUUUCACACAAGCUUCGUAGAAAACAGUUUAUUUCUAUAGGAUCGUGAGCUCCUAAAAACGCAAAUGGUGAAUUGCGUUGGCUGAUCUAGGCAUCUAGCCGCCCACUGAUUCAACUCGGAGACUCCCUCAAGUCCAAACGCAUCAAAGGUCACGGAUACCAAGGUUCCUUGAACAGAACCGUCAAUUCAGAGUAUAUGAUAAAUAUUCCACCGAUUCAUCUGGGCAGAUGAUUUCCUUUUUCUAAAAGAAAAAAGAUGGCUCCAGCGAGACCUGAGGAGGCAGACACCGUCGGUCCUCUCUCUCAGCACUGGACGCGCUGCAGUGCCAACCGGCGUGGCGUGGGCGGUGCAGCUGUUUGCACGACUGGACAAGAAGCCAAACCACUGACUGCCUCUGGCAUCCACAGACCACAUUUCCACGCCUGCUCGCGACCGACCGACCUCCCAACGGCUCCCAUUUCCGCGGUUUUUUCCAUGCAACUUGGAAUGGAAUUGGCCUCCAGGAAAUCCAAACCCAGCCACGAUGGACCACCUGAUUUCAUUUGCCAUUAGUGGGAGACUAGAUUGGAUGACCCAGCCUGUUCGCUUCAGCUUAUAAGCCGGCCGAAAAGCUAAAACGCUGAUUUGUUGUGAGAAGAAAACACUGUUUGGUGGCUGAUAAGCCGGCUUAAUAAGCUGAAGCGAACAGGCCAAGCUAGGCCACGGGAAAACUUUUAAGCUAGUUGGCCACUUGCCCGGACCAAUUUAAUCCAUGGGCUCCGCAGGAAGAGACGCGGGUGUAUAAAAUUCAUGGUGGUUAAGCUCCGACAAAAUCCUUGGUUUGGACGGAGAGAAUCUAGUGAUCGAUCGCUGAGGGCACGUUCAACAGUUUAGACAGCUGCCAUCUGCAAGUCACAUAUCUAUAUAAAGAUCUGUCUUUUAGAUUUUCUGCGAAGUAUUUAAUCCAUUCGUAUCAUGGUGAUCAAGUGUAAAUUUGAUCUGUGUAGCCUCAAGGGCCGCUCACUUGUCAAGCCGUUCAGCUAGCAAAGCAGAUCUUUUCCUUUCUAUCUUAUCCUUUCACAUGACCGGAUGAGCCCAAGGCCACCCAUCUUCUCCGUUCCUCAUCUCUCUCUCGUGUCCUUGGUUCCUCACGCAUCAUGGAGGGGUCGAGCUCAAGGACCUCAAGGCACGGCCCCUCUCUCGCCAACUCUCUCAUGGCCGCGCUUAGUGCUUGGUGCUUCUACAGGUGGCGGUGCGACGCAACGUCCGGCGUGGCGCGGGAGCGAGGGUGCGCGGGGUGCUGCCGGCGAGCUAGGCAGGCUGCGACGGCCAGCUUCUGCGCGAUGGCGGACAGCUCCGUGGGUGGCAACGGCAAGCAACUGAGAUGGGCGGGAAGCAGCGACGAGCAGCUUCGCGCCAUGUCUCCUUCCCACGUCGAUUUUGCUGUAGGGGAUCGAGCUUCAGCUUCGUCUUAAACAACAGCGUCAUACAACGGUGCUGAAGCCGUCUGUUUGCCUUGGGAGCACGAGCUGCGGCCAUCUCUUCGCGAGAUGACGGCGCAGCUGUCUCUCACAGGCCCGUUCCUGAGGGUGUGCGGCCCGUGCUACUGCACAGGGUCUCCAUUUUUUGGGGCUUCCAUUUUUCAGGCCUACAGCCCAUCAUGCCCACCAAAUUUCUGGGCCAAAAUUUAUUUUUCCUAGUCAUCGAUUCACAGAAGAAAGGGCGAAGCCCAAAGGCCUGGGCGCCUGGCUCCUUUUUCCCAUCGCGCGUUGUCCGCUCGUCUCCCGACUCCGCGGCUUCCAAAUUCCAAUUCCAAUCUCGUCUAGGGACUAGGUUAAGUUGCGCUGCCCGCCCUUCCGGCCGCUACUACUGCAGUACUGCUAAGUGCUAAUCGCCUAAUCCUGUUCUGCUAGUCACCGCGUGAGGCCUUCUGGAGUUCUGGUUCUGGUAAUCUGGUCCCUGCGGACGGGAGUGCUACCAGUGCUACGAGACAGGGGCCCUGCUACGAGACUAGGACAAGUUCACAAGUCACAAGGUAAUAUACUAUAAUACUAAUAUUAAUUAUUUUCUUUACUUGAUCGAUUCUACUUCUUCCUUCACAUGGAUUAGUGAAUCAAAAUUUUCUUAUGUUUUGUAUACAUGUGCAUGAAUUGGUCUAGAUCAAAGCCAUGUCUUCUGCAAAUCAAUCUAGAAAAUUUGAAUCAGAUUAUCAAAAGCGUAAGAAAAAACAAAGGAUGGAAGAAUUAACUCAAUCUCAAAAAGGAGCUAUGGAUAGAUUUAUUAGAAAAUAAUCGCGAGUGUCCUCCAAUAAUCAGACAAUUGAUCAGAGUCAUCCAAUUGAUGAUAAUGCUGAUAGUGAUCCUAUAGAUGGGCAUGGGCAAAUAGAGACUGAAAAUAAUUUUGAGAUAUAGGAAGUUCUUAAUGACAACACAAAUGAGCAAAUGGAUAAUAAUGGUGAUAAUUUGGAUACUAAUCCCGUUGAGGAUGUUGAUGAUUCUUUUCAGUCAGAUAUAUUUGAUCCUAGGUAUUGGGAUUCGCUUGAUGCUAAACAAACUGACAUUUUAGCAGAAAAGGGAGCUAAAAGAGACUUAUCAAUUCAAAAAGGUCCUAGGGAUAGAUAUUCUAGAAGGUUUUGUGCACAAUUCUAUACUAGAGUAUUAUCAAAUGGAGAGCAUUGCGAUAGGGAUUGGCUUGUUUAUUCUAAAGAGCUCGAUAGAGUAUUUUGCUUAAAGAGCUCGAUAGAGUAUUUUGCUUCAGUUGUAAAUUAUUCACAAAAGGGAACCGGAAAGGUUAUCUGGCAAAUGAGGGGUAUAGUGAUUGGGCACAUCUUGGCACUAGAAUUAAAGAGCAUGAGACAAGUGCUGAUCAUGUUUUAAAUAUGAUCGCUUGGUAUGAGCUGCGUAGUAGACUGCAAAAGGAUCAAACUAUUGAUAAAACUGCUCAGCAACAACUUGAGAAAGAAAAGGACCAUUGGAAAAAAGUUCUGUUCAUAAUUGUCUCCAUUCUAAAAUUUCUUGCCAAGCAUAAUCUAGCAUUUCGUGGUAGUAACAGCAAACUAUCGGAUACAUCUUUAAUUAUAAGAUACGUGGAUACAUCUUCCGGUCAUGUUUCGAAGAAUCCUUUCUAGGAUUUUUAGAUGUAAACAAUACGACUGGAGAAGGACUCUUUAAUGUGCUACGGAAUGAGCUAAAGCAACUUGAUCUUAAUAUAGAUGAUGUGAGAGGAUAAGGCUAUGAUAAUAGGGCAAAUAUGAAAUGAUGCAACAAGGGAGUAAAGACAAAAUUUUUGGAUGUAAAUCCUAGAGCUUUCUAUUCUGCUUGUGGUUGUCAUAGCCUUAAUCUUAUACUUUGUGACAUGGCCAAGAAUUGUGGUAGAGCUAAAGAUUUUUUUGGGAUCAUCCAACACAUCUACACAACAUUUGCUAAUUCCACUAAGAAAUGGCAGAUUCUCAAACAUAAUAUAAUAGGAUGGACUCUCAAGUCAGUGUCAACUACACGUUGGGAGAGUCGUGUUGAAAGUGUUAAAACUAUUAGAUUUCAAUGUGCAGAUAUCCGGGAGGCUCUACUUCAGGUAUUCAAUAUUUUCAUAUUAUACUAAUAAUGUCAUAAUUCAUUUGACCAUUUCUAAAUCUAAUGAUAUAUUGCUUCUUUUAAUCUCAGGUAUCUGAUAUUGAAAAUGAUGUAAAAAUAAGCAGUGAGGCUAAAGGUCUAGCAAAUAAUGAACUUGGAGAGUACGAAUUUAUAGUGGCAAUAGUAAUUUGGUAUGAAGUAUUAUAUGCCAUUAAUUUAGUAAGUAAAUAGUUGCAAUCAAAGGAUAUGCUUAUUGAUGUUGCUAUUGAGGAAGUGAAGGGGCUGAUUGCGUUCUUCAAAGGGUACAGGGAAACUGGUUUCUUAGAGGUAUUGGAGACAGCAAAAGGAAUUGCACUUGAGAUAGAUAUUGGUAUAGAGUUUCAAAAGAAACGAGAGAUUAAAAGAAAGAGACAUUUUGAUGAGAAUCCAGAUGAUGCAAAUGCUUCCACACAGUCUGCAGAGGAAUCAUUUAGAAUCAACUAUUUUCUAAAUAUCGUUAAUCAAGCUAUUUCCUCACUUACAACGAGAUUUGAACAGUAUCAAGUCUUGAGGGCGCCCUUACAAGAGAUGGUAAAUCUGAUAUUGAUGCUAAUGAAUUGUUUGUGGAGUUAAUGUUUCUUCAAGAUUUCAUUCCAGAAGAAAAUAUGGGUCCUAUUGAGAUUCUAAAGUUUCUGAAGCGACAUGAUUAUUUUCCCAAUGCUAUUAUUGCAUAUAGAGUUCUCUUAACUAUUCCUAGAACUGUUGCAUCAGCAGAACGUAACUUUUCUAAAUUGAAGCUACUGAAGUCUUACUUGCGUUCUACAAUGACACAAGAAAGACUAAAUGAUUUGGCCAUGAUAGCACUUGAGAGUGACAUAUUGGAGAAGAUUGAAUAUGAGUUUAUUAUUGAAAAUUUCAUUUCAAGGAACACCAAAAGAAUGAUGCUCUUCGAAUAAAGAUUAUGCAACAAGAUUAAACAGGUACGGUUGUUAAUGUAUCAUAUUUCUAUGUAAUAUAUUAUAUUAUUAUAUUAUAUAUUAUUUUAUUACUUUAUUUGGCCGUAGCCCUCAUUUUAUAGUUCGAUACAGGAUCUCGGUUUAUGCUGGUCUCGGGUGGGACGAGGGUCUUUUUACAAGUAUACCGGCUCACAUAUGGCAAACCGACGCCCGUGGUACGUGUCCUGCACUGCAUUUCGGAGGAUUCAUUUUGACAUGUUCUUGCAUCGAGGAUUAUAGUAUUCUUAGACGAUUGUUUGGCCCCCAAGAGAGUUUUGCUGCAACUUGUUUUCAUCUAAUCAGUUUCGAAUAUUUGAUUUCUUUGGAUUGAAAUAUUUUUUCUUUCAACAAAUAUCCUAUGCACGUUUUGCAUUCAGAGGAAGAGAAUAAAUGGUACUAUCUCCUGAUCCAAAUUUGAUGGGGUUUUGGGCAGCUAAUUUCAUUCGCUUUUUCUUGCUAUUUGAAACGUCAACUGCUUCGGACCGGAGGCAAUAAUUGGAAAUUACGGUCAUCCAAGAUUUAAAUAAAUCUGCCAGCCGGAAAGAUUACCCCACAACAUUGAACUCAGAAGAAAUCUCAGCCAAUUUGACGGGGAAAACCUCCAAACUCCAGCUUCACCCUAUAGGGCCGCACCGUAACCUAAACCGAUCACAGUUAAUCUGCCUGAGAAAACUUUCGAACCCCAGCUUCACCCUAUAGGUUGCACUGUAACCUAGGCCGACCACGACCAACUGGGUUGGCGACAACUGCAACUACCUUUGGUAGGAGGGACCAAACCAAUCAUAGGUGCCGAUAUAGGAGGAUCCAAACCAACCAUAGGUGCCACAUAGUUAGUGUCUCCCUCGGACUGGGAAUACAAGAGUGUUGGCUCAACAUGUAUUACAACAAACGAAUUAACGAAAGGACAUGGUGCUCCAUGUAAUGAUUCUUUCACCAUGACUUUGCAAGAGCGCAAUGUACAUAUGCCACUUCAGUUUGGAGUAGUAUGUUUGAUCUUCUUCAGUUUGAAGUAUCUCUAUCUUGUCUAUGUGUGGCACGUUGGUGAUUUGUUGUUGGGUUGAUCUCGGCUAAACGGUCAGUAGACCAAGUUCGAGAAGGGGCGACACCCCAUUCCGUUACUCGCGUCCUGAUCAUCCCGUCGCGCAGCGCAACAAUGGGGGGGCGGGGGCCUCACUGUACGUUAAGCCUCUCUACUAAUCCGAUCUGCAAAGAGCGCUGAAGCGAUAAGAAGACUGCCGCCUCUUCACUUCGAGUUGACACCAUCGCACAGACGACGUCAGCCACCUCUACGUCAACUCUAAGUCCACUUCGACCUUCUGCCUCGCGCAUGCUUCAAGCAGGCCUGUGGACUUCAUCUCUUGAGCACAAUGGCUUCCUCCAGUAAAGGUAGAAACCGAGAGCUUAAGUCCCCUAAUCUCCUUUUUUGGGUGUCCUAAUCUAGAACUAGAUCUAAUGACCGUGUCAAUUUUCUAACAUUUGGUACCAAGAGCCAGUCUAGUUCUAAUUAGGAUCCUUAAACCCCUUUGGGUUAAUUGUUGAUGGUUAAAUUAGGGCCAAAUCGGUUUUAAUUAAGGACUAAUUUCUGUUGAUUAGUCAUUAUUAGGCCCAAAUUGUUCUCGGUUCAAUCUAUUCAUACCUCUGUUAGUGUUAAAUGUUUGUAAUUAAUAUAGAUCUAGGUCGAAUUGCCUAAUAAGUUAUCAUCACCCUUGUUACUCUCAAUCCCUUGCAAUCAGUACCUAGUUUAUGCAAUUAGUACCGUGAAGAGGCUAGGAUUUCGGUUAAGAGAUGAAGGAGGGGAAUCGAAUAACAAUAGUCAAAACCGAAGAAAUCCCCAAAUCCUUUCAAAACCCUAACCCUAGAUCAAGAAAUCCCGAAAUUCUCCCCAAAAUCAAAAGCAAAUCCCAAAGUAAGAAAUGGCAUUUGGUCAGGAACCUACCUAAGGGCUGCUGGCUGGGGCUCGUUGUAGCACGGGCGCCGACGUGAGCCAUCUUCUUAUUGAGGAGGACUCGAGCGCGGCACCAGGUGCUGUGCGCGCAUCCACCACUCGCCGCGCUACACCGAUGACGAUGGCCUCGCGUGCACCCUCGUGGCCGUAGGGGUCAUUGUCGCCAGGAAGAAAUGCUCACUGGCCGCCGCCACCCUGGAGACCUUCUCCCGUGACGCGACCGAGCGACAACUCGGGGCAUCCACGGCGGAGCUCUUCGACGGAGUCGCGCGCGGCU
This 11014-nucleotide long non-coding RNA is filed under the name Setaria italica (foxtail millet). RNAcentral describes it as "long non-coding RNA (SITA_LNC003719)". The record is from RNAcentral. Lineage: Eukaryota; Viridiplantae; Streptophyta; Magnoliopsida; Poales; Poaceae.